ACUAAUAUAAAAUUUUAGUUCCUUGUAUUAUUAAUAGCUAUGUUCUUUAAAAUAAAAAAAUUUGGCGGUGAUUUAUCUUAUUAGAGGAAUCUGUUUUUUAAUCGAUACAACACGUUAAAUUUUACUUAUUUUAAAAGUUUGUAUACCGUCAUUAAGAUUGGUUUGGGAAAAUCUAUUAAAAUUAAUAAUUUAAAUAAAUUAGAUCAAGGUGCAGCGUAUAAAUAAGAUAAAAUGGAUUACAAUAAUUUUAAAUUAUUUGGAUAAUUUUAUGAAAUUUAGGGUUUGAAAUAGGAUUUAAUAGUAUAAUUAUUAUAAUAUAAUAAUUAGAAGUUAGCUCUAAAUUAUGU
This 347-nucleotide ribosomal RNA is filed under the name Heikeopsis arachnoides. RNAcentral describes it as "partial 12S ribosomal RNA". The record is from RNAcentral. Lineage: Eukaryota; Metazoa; Arthropoda; Malacostraca; Decapoda; Dorippidae.